AUCACCUGCAUUGGUAUUGAACUGGUGGACUUGGAGAGAGGUGGUAAAAAUCAGUCCUCUUUUGCAACCCAGAACUUAUUGUUCAGUUUAGUUUUGAUCCACAUAAUAACCAUGGUAAU
Molecule: small nucleolar RNA, 119 nt
Filed under: Peromyscus maniculatus bairdii (prairie deer mouse)
Lineage: Eukaryota; Metazoa; Chordata; Mammalia; Rodentia; Cricetidae
Description: Small nucleolar RNA SNORA40 (ENSPEMG00000024824.1)
Rfam family: Small nucleolar RNA SNORA40
About the family: The snoRNA ACA 40 belongs to the H/ACA family of snoRNAs and guides the pseudouridylation of 28S rRNA subunit at position U4565.
Source: RNAcentral